ACUGACUAAUCAAAAAACACCUUUAUUGGACUGAUUCUUAUUGGAUUUGAUCAGAGCUUUCAUGUGUUUAUCAAAAAGGCAGAUUUAUUACUGCAGCUUUUGC
Long non-coding RNA from Thalassophryne amazonica, 103 nucleotides. RefSeq lists it as uncharacterized. The transcript has 3 exons. The record is from RefSeq and is a predicted model, not a curated record. NCBI's taxonomy places the organism in Eukaryota, Metazoa, Chordata, Actinopteri, Batrachoidiformes, Batrachoididae.